This 493-nucleotide ribosomal RNA is filed under the name uncultured Acidobacteriota bacterium. RNAcentral's name for it is "bacterial SSU rRNA". It matches the Rfam family "Bacterial small subunit ribosomal RNA", at positions 348 to 859 of the family's 1533-position model. Lineage: Bacteria; Pseudomonadati; Acidobacteriota. The record is from RNAcentral.
GCAGCAGUGGGGAAUCUUGGACAAUGGGGGAAACCCUGAUCCAGCGACGCCGCGUGAUCGAUGAAGGCCUUCGGGUUGUAAAGAUCUUUCAGCGGGGACUAUGAUGAAGGUACCCGCAGAAGCAGGAGCGGCUAACUACGUGCCAGCAGCCGCGGUAAUACGUAGGCUCCAAGCGUUGUUCGGAAUUACUGGGCGUAAAGCGAGUGUAGGCGGCUCGCCAAGUCGAUUGUGAAAUCUCCCGGCUCAACUGGGAGGCUGCGGUCGAUACUGGCGAGCUAGAGUGCGGAAGAGGAAGGUAGAAUUCCUGGUGUAGCGGUGGAAUGCGUAGAUAUCAGGAGGAAUMCCGGUGGUGAAGACGGCCUUCUGGACCGCAACUGACGCUGAGACUCGAAAGCGUGGGGAGCAAACAGGAUUAGAUACCCUGGUAGUCCACGCCCUAAACGAUGCAUACUUGGUGUGGGCUCUUCACCGAGUCCGUGCCGGAGCUAACGCG